GACGAACGCUGGCGGCGUGCUUAACACAUGCAAGUCGAACGGAAAGGCCCUGCUUUUGUGGGGUGCUCGAGUGGCGAACGGGUGAGUAACACGUGAGUAACCUGCCCUUGACUUUGGGAUAACUUCAGGAAACUGGGGCUAAUACCGGAUAGGAGCUCCUGCUGCAUGGUGGGGGUUGGAAAGUUUCGGCGGUUGGGGAUGGACUCGCGGCUUAUCAGCUUGUUGGUGGGGUAGUGGCUUACCAAGGCUUUGACGGGUAGCCGGCCUGAGAGGGUGACCGGCGAAGUUGGGACGGAGAUUCGGCACAGAGUGCGAGCGGGAGGAGCAGUCGGGGCGGGUGCACAAUGGGCGGAAGCCCGAUGAAGCAACGCCGCGUGCGGGAUGACGGGGUUCGGGGUAUGGACCGCUGUCGCCCCGGACGAAGCGUGGCAGGCAGGAGGGGGAAAAGAUGCAAAGGCUCACCAGAUG
Molecule: ribosomal RNA, 468 nt
Filed under: uncultured bacterium
Lineage: Bacteria
Description: partial 16S ribosomal RNA
Rfam family: Bacterial small subunit ribosomal RNA
Source: RNAcentral